This is a non-coding RNA of Callorhinus ursinus (northern fur seal), 2169 nucleotides long. The record is from RefSeq and is a predicted model, not a curated record. Lineage: Eukaryota; Metazoa; Chordata; Mammalia; Carnivora; Otariidae.
AGCCAGCACCACGUUCACCCUCCCUUGGCACCCAUCCACAUCCUGGCUCCACCAGCCAGGGUGCUCUCCCCCAGAGCCAGUGGGUGGGAUCUGGAAACUGCCUGCCCAGCAGACGGACAGUGGGAAUGGAGGAGGCGGGACCCAGCCACAAAGAUCAUUGCCACCGAGGAGAGCAGGGGAGCAACCUCCUGGCUGGCAGGGAUGACGGUCACCCUCACAUCACCACACACACUGAGCAAACAAGGAGGCGGAUGCUGAGAGGCAAAGGAGCUGAGAGCAGACGACAAGUGAGUGGGCAGGGAUUCUCCCAAGGACUUGGGUUCCAGAGCCAGGCUUUGAAGUCCGGUCGGCUGAGCACCAACUACGUGCUGGAUGCUGUUGUGGGCACUGGGGAUGCCGUGAAGCACCAGAUCAAAACACUAGGCCACCUCUGAACGCUGGGACAGUGCGGCACGAACCUUCAGCUGAGGGGAUUCCUAGGGGCUCAGAGGGAGAAAGGCCCGACAAGCCACCUGUUCCAGCCUUCUCAAUGCUGUAUCCUCUCUACCACACCCCGGGGAGUGGUACUCUCUCUAGGACAGGAGGCUCACUACCUCGUAAGAGGAACCAUUCCAGAAUAGGCAAUGCUAACAGAAAGGCCCUCCCUAAGCCAAACCGACAUCCUCCUCAUUUCUUCUGCCCUCUGAGACACCCCCAUGAAAUAUCCCAUCACCUAUGACUCCUCUUCACCUACAGCCCUUCAAAUACUUUGUGUUACCCUUAAAUCUUCUCUUCUUAAAGAGUAUAUUUCCUCAGAUUUUAAACCAUUCCUCAGACACUGCCUGGCCUUGCUCUGGCUUGUCAAUGCCCCCAAGGCCUGCUGCUCGGACCGCUGUCCAAAAAUGACCAAGUGACCAUCGAGGACAUGCAGGACGGAAUGUCACCCUGACCUCAAGUUCUGCCUCACCUCAGCCUGGGGAUGGAUGGCAAAGGCCCGGGCAGGAGGAGCCACACGGGUGGAGGGUGAGGACAGUCACAAAGAAAGGAGACACCAGUGUAGACAAGAGCUGUCAGUAAAGGCUUCGUGGAAGAGCCAAUGAAACCUUCCACCACAGAAUUAAAGGUAAGUCACCAUCUCCUGCCAGCAGUGACAAAUGCAUCCCUUUCACAUGGCUUCUCUCAAGAAGACCUACGCACGCUCCAUAAGCCCGGGAAAAGAUGCUCCACACCAUUAGUCAUCAGAGAAAUGCAAAUCAAAGCCCCAGGGAGAAGCCACUUCACAUCCACAAACACGGCUGCCAUUAAAAAGCCAGACAGACAGUGCUGGUGAGGACGUGGGGAACUGCACACACUGCUGGUGGGAAUGCAAAAUGGCACAAAUCUGCUUUACAAAAUAGCUCAGCAGUUUCUUAAAAAGCCUAUUCACCCGUGAUCUAGCAAUUCUACUCUUCGAUAUCCACCCGCAAGGAAUGAAAACAUCGGUCUGCGUAGACUAUGCAUGAACACUCAGAGCGGUGUUACUCACAUGGCUCAGGAGUGAAAACAACUCACUAGCUUUGUAAUGUUUACUUAAUUCUACUUUCAAGGCUCAAACCCCUUUCCCCACAUACACCCCCUGCUGGGCAACUGAGAAUUGCUCCAGGCUCUGAAGCUCUCCCUCCCAGGUGUGCGGAAGCCACUCCCCCACCCCCCCCACCCUCCCACUGGCCCUCCCUCAGGGCCCAGCCUGAGUUCACUUCCUCAGCUCUUCACUGCUGUGCUUCCCUCCAGCUUCUUCCCACUUCUGUCAUCCUCCGAACCACCUCCCAGACUCACGCCCCUAAGAACACCCAUCUUGUCACUCCUCAAAAGCAUUCGAUGGCUCCCCAGUGCCUACGGAACAGAUCCAAAUUCUUCAGCCUGGUAUCCCCAACAUCCUUCACAAUAUGGCCCUGAAGCAUCUUUCUGAAAUUACCCCUGACUAUGCCCCUGCUUUCCAUGAAGUUUCCACUCAUUCUUUAAGGUACAGCUGAAGCUGUUCCUCUUCCAGGAAGCCGCCCCAGAUCACCACUACUGGAGCAUGUGUUGCCCAUACCACUUCUCUAGCCCUGAGCCUAUGCUGCGUAGGCCUUGUCUUUACAAGAACCAGCCUGUGAACUCAAGGGCAGCCACCAAGUCUUAAAACAAAAGAUGUAGCCAACAUGCUAGCCA